GUUUGACCUCGGAUCAGGUAGGGUUACCCGCUGAACUUAAGCAUAUCAAUAAGCGGAGGAAAAGAAACCAACAGGGAUUGCCUCAGUAACGGCGAGUGAGCGGCAACAGCUCAAAUUUGAAAUCUGGUCCCCUCUGGGGGCCCGAGUUGUAAUUUGAAGAGGAUGCUUUUGG
This 172-nucleotide ribosomal RNA is filed under the name Scopulariopsis fusca. RNAcentral's name for it is "partial 28S ribosomal RNA". It matches the Rfam family "Eukaryotic large subunit ribosomal RNA", at positions 1 to 168 of the family's 3401-position model. The record is from RNAcentral. Lineage: Eukaryota; Fungi; Ascomycota; Sordariomycetes; Microascales; Microascaceae.